UAGUGUUCUGCUCCUUGGCCAUGCAAACAACGUAAGAUGAUGUUCUUUAUGGAUGAGAAUAUUGGGCAAUCUCCAAAGUAAACUUUAGACAGUGUCUGAUUGGUGGGUGGCUUCGGCAAAUAUAUGUCUUCAACUGGUUGAUAUUUUGAUGACUCAUGAUUGCUUCAGCACAGGUAUUACCGAACGGCAAGUUGGGGGACGUUGAUCAAAGGGGUGCCGAAGGGCACGGAAGAAGGGAGAACGACAGAAGCCUUUUGUGUCAUUUCCCACAGACGGCGCCAAACUGUUGAUGCUCAAAAUGGCCCGGCCAAUAGUGAGUCCAACUUAGUGAUUAGGUAUGCGGGGUCUUCAGCAGGGAAGAGAGCUGAGGCCCUUGGUGAAAUAUAGGUUGAUGGGAAACCUGCAGAAGACAAAGUGGGAGAAGCAAUCGUUAAGCUUCGGACACCGGUGUGGUGCCGGCCGAAGGCUCUCCGAUGCCUAAGUCAGUUACAAGUAGUAAUUCUGGCAGAGUAACAGUAAAAGUGGGAGAAUAGUUGUUCUUUUUACCUGGGUACUGUUCCCUAUUUAUAGGGAGGUGAAAGUAGGAGGUUUGCACAAAGUUCCGAUGUGGGACUUUGUGCAAGUCGUCGUGGUGGCGACACGUGUCCUGGAGAUUAGGUUUGGCAGCUGGGAGCUUCGGUAGGUGUCUGGCACCUCGGAAGUGUGUCUUCCUUCGGCACAGGAGAAGGCGUGGCUGCCUUGGUGCUAGUCACUUUGGUGCUGGGUCUACUCGGUUCAUUAUGGUGUAAACAGUCAUUAAGCUAACAAAAAAGAUAACGAUUUUUGCUAUAGAAAAACGAAAGAUAAGUUGAUGAAAUUUAAG
Molecule: long non-coding RNA, 862 nt
Filed under: Prunus persica (peach)
Lineage: Eukaryota; Viridiplantae; Streptophyta; Magnoliopsida; Rosales; Rosaceae
Description: long non-coding RNA (PPER_LNC000144)
Source: RNAcentral